UUCCUUGGAAGACACGCUCACAAGCCUUACCUCUUGACCUUGUCCCUUUGAUCUUGCUGUGAACCCACUGGAGCUGGCUGGGGGAGAAAAGAAAAGUUUAUUACAAAAGGAACUGUCUGAGGAAU
This 125-nucleotide small nucleolar RNA is filed under the name Vicugna pacos (alpaca). RNAcentral's name for it is "Small nucleolar RNA SNORD22 (ENSVPAG00000016749.1)". It matches the Rfam family "Small nucleolar RNA SNORD22". Rfam says of the family: U22 is a member of the C/D class of snoRNA which contain the C (UGAUGA) and D (CUGA) box motifs. U22 is encoded within the U22 snoRNA host gene (UHG) in mammals and has also been identified in Xenopus. U22 is thought to as a 2'-O-ribose methylation guide for ribosomal RNA. Lineage: Eukaryota; Metazoa; Chordata; Mammalia; Artiodactyla; Camelidae. The record is from RNAcentral.